Molecule: ribosomal RNA, 253 nt
Filed under: uncultured bacterium
Lineage: Bacteria
Description: partial 16S ribosomal RNA
Rfam family: Bacterial small subunit ribosomal RNA
Source: RNAcentral
UACAGAGGUGGCAAGCGUUGUUCGGAAUUACUGGGCGUAAAGGGCGCGUAGGCGGCCUUCUAAGUCGGACGUGAAAUCCCCAGGCUUAACUUGGGAACUGCAUCCGAUACUGGAGGGCUUGAGUGCGGGAGAGGGAUGUGGAAUUCCAGGUGUAGCGGUGAAAUGCGUAGAUAUCAGGAGGAACACCGAUGGCGAAAGCGCUCUGCUAGGCCGCAACUGACACUGAGGGACGAAAGCUAGGGGAGCGAAUGGG